This 390-nucleotide ribosomal RNA is filed under the name uncultured bacterium. RNAcentral describes it as "bacterial SSU rRNA". It matches the Rfam family "Bacterial small subunit ribosomal RNA", at positions 28 to 419 of the family's 1533-position model. The record is from RNAcentral.
GACGAACGCUGGCGGCGUGCUUAACACAUGCAAGUCGAGCGGUAAGGCCCUUUCGGGGGUACGACGAGCGGCGAACGGGUGAGUAACACGUGGGUGACCUGCCCUCAGCUCUGGGAUAAGCCUGGGAAACCGGGUCUAAUACUGGAUAUGACUCCAUGACGCAUGUUGUGGGGUGGAAAGCCUUGUGCGGCUGAGGAUGGGCCCGCGGCCUAUCAGCUUGUUGGUGGGGUGAUGGCCUACCAAGGCGACGACGGGUAGCCGGCCUGAGAGGGCGACCGGCCACACUGGGACUGAGACACGGCCCAGACUCCUACGGAGGCAGCAGUGGGGAAUCUUGCGCAAUGAGCGAAAGCCUGACGCAGCGACGCCGCGUGAGGGAUGACGGCCUGG